Molecule: ribosomal RNA, 253 nt
Filed under: uncultured bacterium
Lineage: Bacteria
Description: partial 16S ribosomal RNA
Rfam family: Bacterial small subunit ribosomal RNA
Source: RNAcentral
UACGAAGGGGGCUAGCGUUGCUCGGAAUCACUGGGCGUAAAGCGCACGUAGGCGGACUCUUAAGUCAGAGGUGAAAUCCUGGAGCUCAACUCCAGAACUGCCUUUGAUACUGAGAGCCUUGAGUUCGGGAGAGGUGAGUGGAACUGCGAGUGUAGAGGUGAAAUUCGUAGAUAUUCGGAAGAACACCGAUGGCGAAGGCAGCCAUCUGGACCGACACUGACGCUGAGGCGCGAAAGCGUGGGGAGCAAACAGG